UACGGGGGGAGCAAGCGUUGUUCGGAUUUACUGGGCGUAAAGAGCUCGUAGGCGGUCUGUCGCGUCGGUCGUGAAAACCUGCAGCUUAACUGUGGGCGUGCGGUCGAUACGGGCAGACUGGAGUACUGGCAGGGGAGACUGGAAUUCCUGGUGUAGCGGUGGAAUGCGCAGAUAUCAGGAGGAACACCGGUGGCGAAGGCGGGUCUCUGGGCAGUAACUGACGCUGAGGAGCGAAAGCGUGGGGAGCGAACAGG
RNAcentral lists this ribosomal RNA (254 nucleotides) under uncultured bacterium. Its description in RNAcentral is "partial 16S ribosomal RNA". It matches the Rfam family "Bacterial small subunit ribosomal RNA", at positions 524 to 776 of the family's 1533-position model. The record is from RNAcentral.